Etheostoma spectabile (orangethroat darter) is the source of this 1328-nucleotide long non-coding RNA. RefSeq lists it as uncharacterized. The record is from RefSeq and is a predicted model, not a curated record. NCBI's taxonomy places the organism in Eukaryota, Metazoa, Chordata, Actinopteri, Perciformes, Percidae. The transcript has 3 exons.
AUGUGUUCUUAUCAAAAGUGAAAAAAACGAAAUUGAUUCUUUUAUCUUUAAUAACAAAAAUAUACUAAAAAAUGAAUAUUAUAUUUCUUAAACAAACCCCACCAUCACCAUUUAGAAUAUCUAAAUAAAUAGAAAAGAGAUCUGUUCAAAUAAAUCAAACUAAAAACUAAGAAGACGUAGUGACGUCUCAAGUCAAACAAGUGGAAUCCAAAAUAGAUCACGCCCUAGGCCGUGUUAAAAGUUGCAUCGUGAUUCAUUUUUUUAUCCCACAUUUCUAUUGUUAUUGUUUUUUUAACCACGUUACGAUGCAUCGCUACAUCCCUAGUCAAGUGAAAUUAAUAGUAACACAUUCAUUAAGUCUGACCAAUGUGUCAUUAGAAUCAAUUCAGGUUAAGGGCUCACUAUAAACAGCUAUGAUGUUAUUUCGUGGCUGAUGAAGGUGUUUCAACCGUACUGAAUUUGGGAUGGAACGGGGGGGGGGGGGGGGGGUGCAGAGAUGGAGGUCCCAUUCUGGGCCAAGCUUAACAGACUUGCCUUGGACCAAAUCCCAAAACCAUCUUAACCAGUAGAGACCCAAUCGUGUCGUGUGUUGCAAGGCCUUUUCCUCAUCAGGGCUAUUAUUACAAAACCAGACCAGGGGUGUUAAACAUUCGGCUCGUGGGCCAGAACCGACCGUCCAAAAGGUCCAAUCUGGCCCACUGGAUGACUUUGCAAAGUGUUAAAAUUGCAGAGAAGUAAUUCAUUCCAAUUCCAAAUUUACCACUCCAAGUUCAGAGAAUAGCCAAGUUCUUUUUCCUUUAUUUUUUCCUACAAUGGCCUUAGAACGCUGUCAUAGCAGAAGCAACUUGCGUUUGCCAACAUCAAGCUGACAAACUCUGGGACAGAUAAAGGUUCUGAUCAGUCUGGAGUGGUUUACUGGUCUGGCCCACUUGAGAUCAAAUCAUGGGGUAUGUGGCCCAUGAACUGAAACGAGUUUGACACCCCUGACGGAAGAUUGCCUUAUUGCAUGUUUUGGCGUGGAGCUGUGGCACAGGACAGAUGUGGUUACUGAUACUGAAAACCAUUUUCAGAACUCCACAGCAAAAAAAAAGAACAAAAGAAGAAGAAAAAAAUGGACUGAGCUUACUUUGUACAGGUGCUGUGAAGUGAAAAAUAUGAAGAGGGAGUUCAGGGAGGAUUAUUUUCUUCUUUUUUUUAUUCCAAAUCCUGUGAAAAGGACAUAAGGGACACAUGAGUGAAACAGGGCAGAGGUGAGCUAAGUAGUCAUAGCAAUACUUUGAAACUACUCUGUACAUUGACUUGAAAUCCUACAUUAGUGUUGGUAAUAG